RNAcentral lists this ribosomal RNA (403 nucleotides) under uncultured bacterium. RNAcentral's name for it is "bacterial SSU rRNA". It matches the Rfam family "Bacterial small subunit ribosomal RNA", at positions 29 to 521 of the family's 1533-position model. The record is from RNAcentral.
AGCGAACGCUAGCGGCGGGCCUAACACAUGCAAGUCGAGCGGGGAGCAAUCCCAGCGGCGAACGGGUGAGUAACACGUAGGUAAUGUGCCUUUUGGUGGGGAAUAACCGUGGGAAACCAUGGCUAAUACCGCAUAUCGUGCUUCGGCAUGAAAGCUUCUGAGGCAACUCGGGGGCGCCAGUUGAGCAGCCUGCGUCCCAUUAUUUAGUCCUAGUUGGUAGGGUAAUGGCCUACCAAGGGUACGAUGGGUAGCUGGUCUGAGAGGAUGAUCAGCCACACUGGAACUGAGACACGGUCCAGACUCCUACGGGAGGCAGCAGUGGGGGAAUAUUGCGCAAUGGGGGGAAACCCUGACGGUACCUCGCAAGAAAGACACCGGCUAACUCUGUGCCAGCAGCCGCGGU